Non-coding RNA from Cinara cedri, 1835 nucleotides. Lineage: Eukaryota; Metazoa; Arthropoda; Insecta; Hemiptera; Aphididae. The record is from the annotation of a GenBank genome assembly.
UGUGCGACUAGGUACUGCAAACAAACAAAAUACACUAUUCAAACGGGAAACAGGUAAAUUAAAAUAAAAAUACAAUUAACGACAUUAAUUUUUUUUAAAAAAUGAUUUAAUUAAUUAAAAUAGUUAUAAGUUAAUAUUUUGAUGAAAAAUGAAAAAUGAAUACUUAUAAAUUGUUUAAAAAGAAAAUGAAAUUUUUUUUAAUCAAAUCGAAUUUUAUAUGAAAUUGCAUUUAAAAAGUUUUCAAUUGACCGGUUUCCUUCUUUAAAAUCUAUACAAAUUGAAUUCAGUGAUUUUAAAUUUUCUCGUAAGUGUUUCUUUUUUUGAUUUUAUGGCAUUUAGAUUCCAUUGGGCCAAUUUUGUUUCAUCUGCAAAAAUAUUAAGUAACAUUUUUUUAUAAUAUUCCUUACAAUUGGAUGGUUAUGACACUAAUUUAGAGAAUCGGUGGUUCAAACCUUCUGUUUAAUUAUUUGUACAUUCGCCAUUAUUUAAUGUAGUUUCAUACACAUUCCAAGUAAAAGGAGGGAACAUAGGUUGACAUUUUCUUGAUCUUUUUCUUUUUUAUUUUGUAAUAACACGUCUAUAUGUACCGUUCACGUAAGUCAUAUCAAAAUAAUCCACAAGAUUUUGAGCAUCUUCAGACAUAAUUGUUUUUAAAUAAGCCAUACCUUCUACAACUUUAUUUCUGGUAAAAAUGCUAAAGAAUCAAGUUUGGUACAAUAAGAUCGAAAUUCAUUAUCUUUUCUUUAUAAUGUUUCUAGUUCAAGUUUUUGAAUUUUUCUAUGUGUAUUUUGUGCGAGAUGUUAAAAACAACCACUUAUUUUUACGUAAGCUGCUAAAAUACUUUUUGCAACUUGGAUCAUAGAUUGUUCAAAAUACAUGUGCAAUUUUAAAGGGUCUGGAUAUAAACUUCUAUCUGAACAAAUAUCUAGUAUAAUGAAUAGCAUACUUACGUUUGUUUUUCGAUUUUUUUUACAUAAUAACAAUAGUAAUUAAAACGGAUUUAACCUAUUCUAAAAACAUAGAGCUGCUUAAAUUCUCUAGGAGCUAAAGCAAAAUUGCCAUCCAAAUACUAUUCAUUAGAUUCGCUCAAAAGUUUUAAUCAAUCGUCAGUAGCAAAUAUUGCAAUUAUAUUUGUUAAGUCUACCCACGUGUCAUGUAGUAAAAGUCAUGUAUAGUUUGGUACACCAAUAGUCGCCCAAUCACCUAGUGCAAUUUCAUUUAAUUUAUUAAUAUAAUUUAUUUAUACAUAUAUAUUAAUAUAAUAAUAUAAUUGAUAUUUACAUAAAUAAUAAAGGAUUUAUUUCAAUUAAUUUUUAACAUAUUAAAUUUUUUCGCGAAAAAUUAAAUUAAAAUUGGAUCAAAUUACUGACCUUCAAUAGCAGUUUUUUCGGUUCGAAUAUUUUUAGACCGUUAGUUUCAGAAAGUCCUUUUUAUUAUGUCUUCAACUGAAAUUCGAGCUUUACAUAAAGUCGAAAGUAAAUUAAUUAGAUUUAGCAUAGAUUUCAACUGGAUUUACUUGGGUUGACUUAACUUUUUCCUUUAUUUUUAGUAAACAUUUUGAAACUUGAACAUCGCUUUCAUUCGAUCUAUGGUUGUGUUCGAUCCCUACAUAGGAUCUAAAUUAUUCAACUUAGAAAUAAUCAUGCUCCUAUCCAGAAGAACAUGGAACUACCAUAACAAAAUUAGAACUAGAUAUGCCCGAACUAAAGAAAUGCUUUUCAAAUGGGAAACGACAAACAACACCCAAUGUAAUUGUGGAAACCCUUUACAAAACAUCAAAUAUCGUCCAAAAAUGCCCCCUGGAGAAAAUGCAUGGAGAAAAUGCAUGGAGAAAA